GACGAACGCUGGCGGCGUGCCUAAUACAUGCAAGUCGAACGCUGAAGCUUGGUGCUUGCACCGAGCGGAUGAGUUGCGAACGGGUGAGUAACGCGUAGGUAACCUGCCUGGUAGCGGGGGAUAACUAUUGGAAACGAUAGCUAAUACCGCAUAAGAGUAGAUGUUGCAUGACGUUUGCUUAAAAGGUGCAAUUUCAUCACUACCAGAUGGACCUGCGUUGUAUUAGCUAGUUGGUGAGGUAACGGCUCACCAAGGCAACGAUACGUAGCCGAUCUGAGAGGGGGAGCGGCCACACUGGGACGGGAGGACGGCCCAGACUCCUGCGGGAGGCAGCAGUAGGGAAUCUUCGGCAAUGGACGGAAGGCUGACCGAGCAACGCCGCGUGAGUGAAGAAGGUUUUCGGGUCGUAAAGCUCUGGUGUAAGUGAAGAACGAGUGUGAGAGUGGAAAGUUCACAUUGUGACGGUACCUUACCAGAAAGCGACGGCUAACUACGUG
Molecule: ribosomal RNA, 497 nt
Filed under: uncultured bacterium
Lineage: Bacteria
Description: partial 16S ribosomal RNA
Rfam family: Bacterial small subunit ribosomal RNA
Source: RNAcentral